GCCCUUAUGGCGUAGUGGUAGCGUGUCUGACUCGUAAUCAGAAGGUCCGUCGUUCAAUCCGGCGUGAGGGCA
Molecule: transfer RNA, 72 nt
Organism: Aspergillus ustus
Lineage: Eukaryota; Fungi; Ascomycota; Eurotiomycetes; Eurotiales; Aspergillaceae
Rfam family: tRNA
About the family: Transfer RNA (tRNA) molecules are approximately 80 nucleotides in length. Their secondary structure includes four short double-helical elements and three loops (D, anti-codon, and T loops).
Source: Rfam